This 31950-nucleotide long non-coding RNA is filed under the name Zostera marina. RNAcentral describes it as "long non-coding RNA (ZMAR_LNC005828)". Lineage: Eukaryota; Viridiplantae; Streptophyta; Magnoliopsida; Alismatales; Zosteraceae. The record is from RNAcentral.
AAACCUUUUCUGAUUUUUCCUUGCAUUCAAAUAAUUUAGCACGGAAUUAUGCAGAUUUUAAUUUUCCUUUUUUCUCUCCAUCUCCACAAUCAAUCCCCCAAUGAAUCUCAGAUAGUCUUAAAUCAACGUUAUUGCGUGGAUUCAAUGUGGUGGGAGCUUUGUAUGUUUGUGAUUCAUUGUUUGAAGAAAAUGCAAAAAAGGCUGUUCAUGCUUGUCAAAAGAUAAAGCAUCUUCUUGGGUAUGAUGAUGAUGAGGUCGACCAUGACAUUAUUGGUGCUUCUGUUGACCCAGAGACUACAUCAGAUAUUCACUUUUUUGCAUCUCAAUCUGGAAAGAAAUCUUGUGUGGAGCUCAUUACUGCAGUUCAUUACGAAGAUGACCCUGAAGAGUUAGUUUGGAAGAAUGGAUGCCUUCUUCGAUGUCAAAUGGAGUUCAAGAUGCCUGUUUAUAUGCCCAUUGAUGGAAAAAGAGGUAAUUGAUUUUUUCACCUGUUCCUUGAUUGGUUUCCUUCAAGAUAUUUGCUUAAUUACUUCAUGUGUACAAUUGUACAAGUCAUACAUUUUGCUGGUUUUCGUAAGUGAGUUAUUUUUAAUUCUUUCAGUUUAUGUUUUGUUCUUGUUUAUAUAAUUCAGAAAGUUUGUAAUGCCAAUGACAACCAUAAUUUGGAAGGCUAGAUGUUUUAUUUUAUAUUGCUAUAACUUUCGAAUUUGGUGGUUAAUUCAUUUCUUUCUUAUUACCGCACAAUCACUUGUUUUUUCUUGUAAUCCUAUUUAAGAAUUGCCUGUUUACUACUCUAAUGCUUGAUUUUUUUAUUCCAUUAAUAUGUGCCAGAUGUUGAGAUGCUUGCUUCUGCAACUGAUGCUGCUAUCAGUAAACUUCGUGAUCCCAAAGUUGUAUACUUAGUUGAAGGCACAGAUAUGACUCAUCAGUCCAUCGUUUUACGUGGAGCAGAAUUAAGCUCCAUAUCAGACCAUAGGCCUGCAUCUCAAGAACUUGGGAAAAUUAACUUACUUUGUUCAUAUUUCUCAAAAUCAAAGUUCUCUCCAUUGUUUACCGCUAAUAAGGUUAGUUAAAUUUAUGAAAGAAGUUUAUUUUCAUCAACAACAAGUUUUCUUUAUUAAAACAUUGCCAUUUAAAAUUUGUUUCUCGUCUAUGUUCCGAGCACAGAAUCUGUUUAUAUUUAUUUUUCUCAAAGUAAUUUUUGUUAGAACGCAGAUGUUAUCUCAGUAAUAGUCUUCUUUAGUCAUUUGGGAAAUGCUACAAGUGCAUGUGCUCCCACUGCAGAGUAUACCCCAGGUAGUGUUUUUCUCAAUUAUCCAUGCUUUCAUCCUGUAAUCUUGUGUUUUUUUGUUGUUGAUUGGUGAUACAAAUUAUUCUUUCCAGCCCCGGAAUCAGUCAAACUUAAUGUUUUUGACUUCAAGGUGGAUGUUCUUUGCUAUGCUUCAAAAGAUUUUCCAGUUUGUUCUGCUGUUUCUAGAUUGGUUAUUCCAGGAAUCUCUAAUCAGUUAGCAGUAUUGAACAACACUAUCAGUCAAAACAUUUCAUCACAAAAAUCUCGGGUAUAGUGAUUGAUGAUCUCUAUCUUCUGAUUAUAUUAAUUCCUUGAGAAUGCAUGUAUCACCUUCUCCCUUCGCGAUCCUUAUAAAGCUCUUCAUUAUUUUCAUUUCUGGCAUGUUUGUCGAGAAUGCUCAACUUUCUCAACAAAUACAAUGACAUACAGGAUACUUUUAUUUGUUUUUCCUACUGUUUGGAGUUUGCAUAUUUCUCAAAAUAAUCAUUUGAUCAUUGUUUUCUUCAUAAAUUAAUUGUUCUUUUCAUUAUUAACCAUAUAAUCUGACUUUGCAUUAAUUUAAUUUUAUUAAGAAAUUUGUGAAUUAACAGCUCUGUCCAUUUCAUUUUUGUCCUCCGGGAAUUCUACAUCCAAUUACUUGCAUAUAUGAUUUAGCAUAUGGAGAAUCUGAACAAACACAAGGUAUGAUUUGCAGUUCCUUAUAUUAGUCAUACGUCCAUACUUGCAGAGUUGUAGUGUACAAUUGAUAGCAAAUAUUUGUAUUUUUGCAGUUAAUAUUAGAAGAUCUUUACAUUUGAGACUUGGAUUACCUUUAGAUCGUCCUCUUUUGCUUCUUACCAAUUCAAUAGCUUUUAGUCAUGGCGAUAUUGGUGUUAGCAAACCACAAAGAUCUGGUAUUUUUUCUUUUUCUUUCAGAAAGAUCUUACCAAUUUGGUAGGUUUUUUAUCGAAUAAACUUUUGAAUAUGUUUUUCCAAAGCUGUGAGGAAUUAAAAUAUUUUUUACAUGUAAAAUCCAGGUGUUAUCAAAGAUGUUCAUCAUGAUAUUUCAAAAAGUGGUGGUAAGUUUCUCUGGAUGCAAUUGUCUCAAUUGUUCCUUUAGCUUUUAUCAAAUUAUCACUUGUCUUAUUUGGUCAUCGGUGAAUGUCUUUAUUGGCUUUUUAGUUUCUGGAGGACUUGCUUCAUUGGUCGAUGGUUCUUAUGAGUACUAUCAUUAUCUACAGGAUGGUUUUGAUGAUAGCGUAUGUGUUUCUACUUUCUAUCUUCACAUCUUAAUAACGAUAACAGUAUUUUUAGAUUAAGAAAAAAUCUAUUGAAAGAACAGUAAGAAGCUAGAAAAUCGAAGAAAUCACAAUUCCUAUAAUAUCAGGGUGUAUUUUUCUUCUCAGCCAUUAAAAAUAGUGAAAAAUAAUAUCAAUAAUAUUAAUGUUAAAAAACAUGAAUCUUAGAGACGAGGAGCACAUAACUUCAAUUCAAACUUAAUUUAUGUUUAAUUGUUUAUACUACUUUCCAGGGAUGGGGGUGUGCUUACCGAUCUCUUCAAACCAUAAUAUCAUGGUUUAUACUUCAACAUUACACGUCCAUUGAAGUCCCUUCACAUAGGUACGCAUAACUCUGUUAUAAUCUUUACUUUUUUGAUAAAGGAGAGAUCAUAAUUCAUAAAUGAGAUCGAAAAAUUCAUUUGAACUUGAAUUACCCAAUCAAAGGAUUUUAAAAGAUCCAACUGAAUAUUAAUUUAGGUCAACUUUUAUUAACAGGCUGUGUAUUUUAGAAUUAACUUGAAUAUGACUUUGAAGAUUCAAUGCUGCCACUGCAUGUAUGUCUGACUGUAUUUUAUUUUUCAGGGAAAUUCAGCAGGCACUGGUUGAUAUUGGUGAUAAAGAGCCUUAUUUUGUAGGAUCUCGUGAAUGGAUUGGGGCCAUUGAAUUGAGCUUUGUCCUUGAUAAACUUCUUGGUGUAAUUGAUGCUUUCACUUUUUAUUUAUAAUUAAAUAGAUGGAUAAAUAAGUACAACCUUCACUUAAUUAAUAAUGGUGAUAAACGUGUAGGAGAUUUCCCUAAGACACCUAUAUGUUUUAUUUAUUUAUGAUUGAACAUCUUUGCCUAAGCACGCAUUCUACUAUUCUCUUAGCCUUUUGUUGUUUCCAAUAGGUUAGUUGCAAGAUUAUUAAUGUGCGAUCUGGAGCGGAGCUUCCAGAGAAGUGUCGAGAACUUUCCAUGCAUUUUGAGACCCAAGGAACACCUAUUAUGAUCGGUUAGUAUUUUCUAUUUGAAACAUCUUCUGCUGGUAUUUGAAUGACUGUUAUAUGUUCAUUUCUUAAAAACUUGCCAGUAAGAUUUUAAUUAAACUCUUAGUUUGGUCAGAUUUACGUAUUCCAAUUUCCAAACAAUUUUUACAAUAAUGGAUUUGAAACCAUACAACCAACGCCAGGAAGGUGUAUGGUUUAUAUUAGGAUAGAUGUAGUCUAAAAAAAAUUCAUUAAAUUUCACAUACAAGAUGUAUUCAAUCUAUGUAAAUACAGCACAACCAUUUCUUUUAUAUUCGUAUGACCUUGAAUCCCGGCUUUUGUAAACAGGUGGUGGUGUUCUAGCUUACACACUUCUGGGUGUUGAUUACAAUGAAGUUAAUGGUGACUGUGCAUUCCUUAUUCUGGAUCCUCACUACACAAGCAACGAUGAUCGCAAGAAGAUAGCAAACGGUGGAUGGUGUGGGUGGAAGAAGCCUGUGGAUAACAAAGGCAAGCAUUUCUUCUUACAUGACAAAUUCUAUAAUCUUCUUCUCCCACAAAGACCCAACAUUGUAUGAUCUUAUCUAAAGUCUAAACCAUGUAUUAGAUACAGAUAUGUAAUUUACAAGUUAUAAUAUACUGCAAUUAAAAUCCAUUUUGCAAAAUAUUUCAAAGUUAAUAUUUAUUGGUAUCCUUGGAUUCCAACAGGAUUGUGAUGUUUUCCAAUCUUUAAUAUGAUUAUGUGGAGGUUUGAACCUCUAAAAACUCGAUCUUUUUGAUAUAUUUUUUUAACUCUCCACACAAUCUGAUUGUCAUUCUUUAUGAUAGACACAUGGUGAUUACCUCAAUUGGUUAUAUGAAUUUUUAUGGUUAGUUCAUAGGUACAUAAAAAGUAAUGUUCACUAGUAUAGUCGUCGUUAGGGUGUCAAACGAGCCGAGCUUUGAGUUGUAAAGCUAAGCUUGGACUCGUCUCAUUAAGGUUGUAGCCAUUAGCCAAGCUCGGCUUUAGAAGCUAGUUCAAGCCUAAAGAGUCGAGCUAAACUUGAUACCCUAGUCGCCAUAUAGAGGAGGAAGGUCAUCACUUGUUGGAAAGAGCUGAUGUAAAACCUUGGAACCAUGUUUUCUUCACCAAAGUUGUUUUAAACUUGGUGAAGUAAAUAAUAGUACAGAAGAGAAUUGACCCCAUCCUAUUGAUUAUAGGCUAUACGCCUAUACUCCUACUGCCAACUGACAAGUUGUUUUAAGCACAGGAAGAUUAAUUCAACUGGUCACGAUAACUAUUAAGGUUGUUGAGAGUUUUGGUUUUAUUUUCACUGUGUACAUAAUUUUCAUUACGUUGUUUUAGUAUGUCAUCUAGAGAGAUAAGUAGUAAAAGAGAAUUGGGCCCAGCCCAUUGGAUAUUGGACUGACACUUUAUGAGUACAUGACCUCAGCCUCACUUAUUAUUGGAUAACAACGCAAUCCAAGCUUCAGAUAAACACCAAUGCCAUCUCGACACGUGUCAAAAGAUAGAGUAGAAAUUUUACGUUCUCAAACAUCUACAGUCCUACCUGUGAUCGUUUUUCCCGUCAUCGGUGUCACUAAGUUGUACUGGUUGACUGUGAAGUCGCUGUCGGUGAUCUGUCAUCUUUGUUGACGAAUAUGAUCCCAAGAUCAAGGAAAAGAAGACGGAGUAAGAUCCGUAAACCGAAAUUCCUCAGUCUUCGCCAAAUGACGACGACCACCGACGGCCACCAUGAUGACUGCAGCGAGAAAACCAAGUUUGAGCAACUUGACCUCUUUCCUUUGCACCCUGAACUCACGCUGGAGGAGAAGGAAAAGGUUGAAGAAGAUGCCGGUGAUGAUGAUGAUACUCCAAGUAGUAACUUCUUCUACUCCGACGUCGGUGCCGGUGCGACUCCUCUCACCUCACUUCUUGGAGAACCCGUCGUUAAUGCCAUGUCGGCGAUGAAAGAAGAAGAAGAAGAGGACGAGGAGGAAAGAUUGGAUAUUGGGUUUUUUGGCGAUGGUCGGAGAGGAAGGAGAGGGAUGCUUUGUUUAAAGCUUGAUUACGAGAAAAUUCUCAAUGCAUGGUCGGAAAAAGGAUCGCUUUACAUUCACGACGAUGACUAUGAGUCUCAGAUCGUUCCACAGCUCCAUCCGAUAGCUUCUGUAAGAUUAUUCUCUUUUUUGUAAAAAAAAUCCUAUAAUUAAUCAAAAAAAGAAGCAAAAAAUCCCAACUGUGCAUAGGAACAUACAUGCUGGACUGCCCCGGAGAAUGGCGCCUGUGACGGCGGCGAAAGAGUGGAGAUUGGUGGUCGGAAAGAAAGAGUGUUACGGUACAAGGAGAAGCGACGGUUGAGAUUAUUCUCCAAUAGAAUCCGAUACCAAGUCAGGAAGAUUAAUGCCGAGAAGCGACCCAGAAUCAAGGUAAUCGAAUUCUGAUGAUACCUCAAAUACUGGAUCGAUCCAAGCCCAAUCUUUGGUUCGGAUACCAUUGGGCCUUAUCUUGGGAUGGACCGAAGAUUGGGCUUGGAUCCAACAAAUUUCAUUUCAAAUUCUGGUAUCCGAAUUGGAAUAUUGUUGGAUUGAUUGGCUUGUUUUUGUUUGCAGGGUAGGUUUGUGAAGAGAGUUGACCGUGUUUGACUUUAUAGAUUUCGUUGACUUUCAAUUUCACUAAAAAAAAAUUACAUUCAUUUUAAUGAUGUAAAAUUGUAAAUGAGUCCAUGAUUUCUAUCCAUUGGCCCAAUUAAUUAUUCUCCAAAGAUGGGCUCGAAUUUGGGUCAUAAGUUUCUUAAUGAUAGAUUUAUCUCACAUUCACAGUCUCACCCAUCAAUUAGUUAAACAAACCGAAACUUAAAUUGGAUUCGAUUAGUUAUAUAAAUCGAAUUCAAGCAUCAUUUUAUAUUUAUACUGGCGCCGGUUUUGGUACGACCAGAUUGGGUGCGUCUAAUUCAUCUUAAUUGUCCAAAAGACAUAUAUAUAUAUAUAAGGUGCAUUUCAGGUGUGUCAAAAAUUGGGUGUGUUAAAUGCGUCAACAACGUAAUACGGUAUGUGACAUACAAUUCGAGGAUAAUGUAACAUACAACGUCGUCGUACAGAGUGAAGUUGUUGAUGAAUAAUGAAAUGUGAGACGGAAGAUUAAGAUCUAACGACGUACAACGAUUUGACACAUGGAGUGUUUGACACACCUGAAACUCAACCUAUAUAUAUACAACCAGCAUCACCUGCGAACGUCCGCAGGUGAUGCUGGUUGCGGAUGGGCUACCACAUCCGUCAGAUUUUAAAUACGACGGAAUCGCGGGACUUCCGCGAUUCCGCAACUGCAGUUCAGAUUCCGCAGUUCCGCAAAAUCAGAACUGCAGUUGCCGCAAUUAAUCACAAAUAAACCGCGACUGCAGUUCAGAUUUUUCGAUCCUCAACUACAUCCGGCAACCGUAGCGAGCUUCCACUGCGGACGUUCGUAGUGGAAGCGCGCACUAUAUAUAUAUAUUGGUUCUUAUAUUUUGAUGAUACUCUCGGCCACUGGAGUGGCCCAACAGGAGCAUCAAAGGACCAAGUCCAUCGGAGGGAGUACUAAUUAAACCCCCGGUCCGUUAGAGCGGCCUGGUAAUAUCCCCAGGUCCGUUUGGCAAAAUCCCGACCCGACUCGAACUGACCUAGCCCGAGGGGUAAAAAAAGGUUCAUAAAUACUAAUCUCCUAAAAUGAGAAAGAAAACGUUAUCCUUGACACGUGUACUAUACUAUAGAGAGAAAGUGAUUAAACCUUAAUUCGAUCGUGUAAGUCCAUCUCUGACUAUACACUAUCAUAUUUGUUGAAUAAAGACACAAAAUUUGGUCUGAACGUUCCAUGUUUUCAUGAUUCCAUCUAAUGAUGCACCCAAUCUGACCGUUGAUUUUAGGUGAAGAUCAAUAUUAAAAGUUCUCACAAAUAAACUUGGGUUUUGAUUCAGACUUUUUUUUUUGAAAUAAUUAAAUUUCAUUAAAAAAUAAAACUAAUGUCCAGUUUAUAGAGUAUAGAAAUAAAAACGGAAGUAAAAAGAAAUAAACAAUAAGCUCAUUGACUCUCUUCCAUUAACUAUAUAGUCUAGUUAUACAGUAAUUAGAUACGUUGUCUCAAUAAGUUGAUUUAAACUUGGGUUUAUGAAUAUAACCAGCCUGAACCCAACCCAACCCGUCAACUCCGUGCUCGAGGAUUCAAGGUGGGUUCAGGUCGAUUCGAACCCAUCAUGUCCCCACAAUCCCACUAACCCACUAACCCACUAACCCAAUGCUCUAAAUGUCAAUGUAUUAUUAUUAUACAUAAUUUUGUAUACAAUGUGACCCCUAAAACUUUCAAAGGCUAACUAAUUAAUAACUAUCAGCAACUAAUUUUUAAUGAUAAAAAAACACAUGGCAUACACAUGAAAGACACUUUGCUUACGUGGCACAUCGACACAAGUACAAAACCGAAUCUGUGUUCCCAAUUUUGACUACGUGUGAAGUUGACUAAAACAUUGCACACACCAAGCACAAGCUAGCUUCGAAAGAGCAUGAGCUUGGUAGCGCAUACAUGAGGUCAACAUAUGUGGUUAGAAAUCAACAUGAUAUGCACAUUGCUCAAAUUCAUGCACAUACAAUUAAGACUAAUUAAUUACAAUUUUAUCUUCCGCUCGGCUCCGACCCUGGCCGUCCGAGCUUCAAUUCGCUAUAUAUAACGAAUGCACUCUCAUCAAUUUAUAUAUACAUUCUUCAGUAUGACUUCAAUCAUAACUUCUUCCAUUAUCGCCACCGCUUUCUUCUUGUUCGUCUUCUGUAAUGUGACCACGGCGCAGGAAGUGGUCGAUGAGUGUAAGCCAGUGGAAGGAAGUUGCUACAAUAAAUCCAAGGCUCUUGAGUUAAAGAUAAUUGCUAUCUUUGCAAUUUUGGUCACCAGUGUGAUUGGCGUGGUGCUCCCAUUGCUCUCUCGCUCCAUUCCUGCUCUUCGCCCAGAACGUAAAUUCUUUGUGCUUAUCAAGGCUUUCGCUUCUGGCGUCAUCCUUGCCACUGGUUACAUGCACCUCCUUCCAGACUCCUAUGAAAGCCUCAAUUCACCUUGCUUGCCGGAGAAUCCUUGGAGAAAGUUCCCUUUCACGGCCUUCAUCGUGAUGAUCUCAGCUGUUUUCACUCUUAUGGUUGAUUCCUUUAUGUUGACUUUCUUCAAUAGAAAGAAAGGUCAAUGCAGACACAAAUCUUCGGACGAGGAGGAGCCACCUUCUGUUCCGGUCCAUCAUUCCCACGGUGGUAUCCCCAUCGCUUAUAUCUCCAACGACGGAGUUGACAAAGGAAUAUCGCUGAAGCGUAAUAGAAUUAUCGCUCAAGUGAGUCGUGAAAUUCAUAAUCCGUAAUUAGUUUUAAUCAAUCAGAGUUGAUAUAUCUAUAUGUGUGCAUCAUGUAGGUGUUGGAAAUUGGGAUUGUGCUUCACUCAAUUGUGAUAGGAUUGUCUUUAGGUGCAUCGGAGAAUCCGUGCACGAUUAAACCUCUUAUCGCCGCCCUCUGCUUCCACCAAAUGUUCGAAGGAAUGGGACUUGGAGGUUGCAUUCUCGUCGCGGAAUAUAACUUGAGAAUAAAAGCAACUAUGGUGUUUUUCUUUUCGAUGACAACACCCUUCGGCAUUGUCCUUGGGAUCGCUUUAUCCAAAGUAUACGAAGACAACAGUCCCACGGCACUCAUCGUCAUCGGAUUGCUAAAUGCAGCGUCCACCGGACUUCUCAACUACAUGGCUUUGGUUGAUCUUCUUGCCGCCGACUUCAUGGGACCUAGACUACAGGCAGACGCAAAACUUCAGUCUUGGGCUUAUGUUGCUGUGUUUUUGGGUCUUGGGGGAAUGUCUAUCAUUGCAUUGUGGGCUUGAUUAAAUAAAAGCCCACACCGGCUCAUUUACGUAUUUUCUAAAAAAAAAUAGAGUUAUCAUUCUAUUGAUCCAUCCAUCAUCCACACCUUCUCUUAAGCAACAUUGUUUGACUCCAACCUCCCACUGAUCUCUUCCUCAGUGUGUGUAUUCGAUCACGUCGUUCUUCGAUGAGUUCCUCUCUAACUCCUUGCAUUCAAAGAGAAUAACAUAAACAAAAACAGCUUAAAUUUGAUGGUAUGUUUGUUUUAAAUUACAAAUUUACAAAAGAAUUUAGAUUUAAGGUUUAGGCCAGUUUCGUCGACCACCAUAUUCAUUUAUCGUUCAAUAAUAGCAGACUAUCGAAUUGCUUGCUGUGUCUGGAGAAGUUUUCCACAGAAAUCCAGAUCAAAGUUUUGGCUGGGAGGAUCACCAAUGCACUCAAAAACAGCAUCAGCAUUCAAAAAAUCCUCCUCUGAUGUAUAACUGUGAUGAAAACAACAAAAUGUGUUAUCUCUAUUUGUGUUUUUUUAGCUUUAUAUUCAGAUCAAUUUGAUAGUUCUUGCAUGUUUACCCGCUUUUUGUCACGAUACAUUUCAUUCCGGCGGCUUUUGCAGCAGCUAGACCGAUGGCACUGUCUUCUAUGACAACGCAACUGGUAAGAGGAUGGAAACAACAGUGACAAACAUGUAAUAUCUGGAUGAAGUGUGUGAGCUUUUUUUAAUUAUUACAACGAUGGAAGAAUAAAAUCUCUGGAUAACAACAGAACCAUUCUAAUAUAUUAGUAGGAUUUGAACUCAUGACAUCAUAAACUUUAUACGACUGCUAAGGAAAUUGUGUGUACCUCGAUGGGUCGACUUCUAGAGUGUUGGCUGCUAAUAUGUAGAUUGCCUGUGACGAGAAGAAGAUAUGAGGUAAAAAUGUGGUAAAUGCCUUGAUAAUGAGAUGAUUCAAGAGUUUACAGGAUUGGGUUUUUUAAGAGGAACCACAUCUCCUGCAAAUAUGGUAAUCUUCUCAGCUCGAUUGGGUCCGAGCAAGAAAGAAACUAUGGCGGAAACCUGUAUAAAAUAGAAACAGAUAGUGUUGAUCUCAGAUUCACCAUUAAUUGUCACUUAAUAGUUAAUAUCUAUGUUUUCUGCAUCUCCAAUCUCCAUUGUAUUUUUCAAAAACUUACUGCUUUUUCAUUUGAAGUGCUACAAACUGCAACUUUGACACCCACUGACAAUGCUUCGUCGAUCAAUCUGACCAAAGAAAAUCACGCAAUAAUGUUUUGAUGAUAAAAUGUAGGCGAAAGUAAAAUCUGGUAUGAUCUAUCAAGUAUCAAUAUCAUCCAUUCAUUCAUUCCUAUGAUAUAUUUAUUGUACCUUGCAACGCCUGACCGGAGGGGAAGAAGUUUCUUCUCGAUGAGAGCCAUGAACAACUCAGUCUUCCUUUUGUGAAGUGAUGCGAUGAAUAUCUUCCUCUCGCCGUCCGUGCUUGGGGCUUUUUCCGGCCAACCAGUUUUGUUAAAAUAAGCCGUCAUUCUAUAAAGGUGCAGAAUUGGCAAAAUCUCAAACAAACAAAAUUUUGUUGAAAAUCAGAAAUAAAAACAGAUGUUAUCAUGUUUGAUCAAGAUUUAGAAAUCACAAAAAUCUUCAAUGUUCUUUGAUGAUUUUAUCACAAUUUCCCCUUUUUUUCUUCCUUUGUUAGAUCAAAUCAUCAAACAACCGAAAGUAAAUGUAACAAUAAAAAAAACAUCACGGCUUAGGGUUUUGGGUUACCUUUACCUUUCCUUUCCACCACCAACCUUCAACAAUUCACCAUACAAUUCCACAUCCCAAUUUAUACCCAAAUCUUUCUGCAACAUCAAAGCCUAAUUAAUUCCCCCAAUCCUCAAUUCAAUAAGAAAAACACAAAAUUAACAUCAAUACCUCCGUGAAUGUGUCAUUGAAGGAAAUCCGAUGUCCGUCCUUCUCCGUAUCAACAAGCACGCCGUCGCAAUCAAAGAGAAGCGCACUAGGAAGACCACUCGAACUGGAAUCAGAAGAAGCGGAGAUGACAGCCAUGGUGCACCCUUUCCGACGAUUACUCUUACCAAUUGUGGUAGCAGCAAUACUCAAUGUCCUGGUUGAAAAAACACUCCCGGAGGAGAAUAAACGUGACGGAGUUCUCAGAAGUGAAGUCGAUGGAUAUGGGAAGAUGCUUCUCCUCUCCGGAACAAUCGAAUUGGGAACCACAACCACUACACCAGAAGCCAUUGCUCUCCUAGAUUCUACUCUGUAAUAAAAAAAUGAUUUUUUUUGUCUACUAGUGUUUGAAUAAAUUAAUGGAUAAAAUAACCGAUUAUAAAAUAAACGGAUACAAAACACAUAACUGCUAACUGGAUUCACACCACUAUCAUUUCCAUGGAAGUUUAUAUGUAAAAUAUUUCCAUCACUUUAUUGACAGCAAAAGAAAUCAAUACAAAUGAAACAUGAAAAGUUGAAAUGUUAAUUUUUAUCUUAAUCACAGAUUUUUGUUUGGUGAUAUACCCAUUUAAAUAUUUCAUAAGGUAACACUGUGUCUGUGCCAUAGUGGAGAAUUGAAUCAUGAACCUCAGAUAUCAUUAUCUGCAUCCUUUAUCUGCAUGGUAUCAUCAAUUUUCUUCAGUGUCUUGAUGUAGUUCUUUAUAAGAGAAUACCUGUUAGUUCUUCAUAAGAUGGUAGAAGUAAUCUCAUGAGUAGAUUCCAAUUUUAUGCAACUCAUCAAAAAUUAUCCUGAUAACAGAACUGAAGAAUUGGCUGAUGUAAUUUUCAUGGAAGAGCUGAAGAAGUUUAUUUCAUCUGUUAAAUAUUCAGAUCAGAGGUGACAACAUUCACCAAUUGAAAACUCAAAUAUUACAAACAUUACCAGAUUGUCUGACACCAUAGCCAUUUCUUGUCAAGCUUUCGCGAAACAUGUCUGUUAUUCUGUCAAUCCGAUGUGUUAAAAAUAAAGACAGUGUCGCUUGAUCAAUUCUUUUAUCCACUGACUGGUGUCAACAAAUCCUCUUCUUUCAGCCUCGGACAACAGAAGAUCCAAGGUUUUCUUCUCUUUAGGAAAUAUAUCACGACUCACCAUCUCCUCAAUCAGAAGGAAAGCACCCUCAACUUUACCAACUUUACAGAACCCAUGAAUUAGUUGAGAAUAUGUGUCGGAAUCAAGAAAGAGAUGAUGCUUGUUAACGAUGCCAUCCAACAGAGAAAUCAGGAUUUUGUCUGCAUUCCCCAACCUUAAGAUUAGUUUAAAAAGUGGUCCGAAAGUAUGAAGAUUUGGCUUCAAAGCUGGAUUCUUCUCCUCUUCCAUCUUCCUCAAAAUAUUUAAAGCUUCCCGACCUUGUGAAUUUUGGCAAUAAACUGCAAUCAUGGUGUUGUAGGUCGUAAUGUCUGGUAAUACUCCAUUUUCACGCAUCUCAACAUUGAAAAUACGGCGUGCUUCAUGAAUCUCACCUAUUCUACCUAAUAUACUGAUCAGAGAAUUGAAGAAGAAUAUGUCAGGCUUGCAUUCUGUACUUUUCAUCUUAUCAAUUAUCUUAAAUAUGGGUUCAAUCUUCCCCAACCGACCUAAAGAAGUAAUUACACUGGUAUAUGUAGUUGUAUUUGGCGGACAACCCACUGAUAUCAUCUCAUCCAUGAGCUCAAAAACUUUACAAAAGUUAGAUAGAUCACAAUGUGCACGAAGAAUAUUGGAGUAGGUAACAACAGAAGGAACAAUUCCAUUUUGCUUCAUCUCAACGAUUGCUUUUUCGGCGUCAUCAAUUCUACGUAAUAAACACCAACCGUGAACAAAGAUGUUAAAAGUGCGACAAUCCGGAACAAAAUCAGAGCGGUAUUGUAAAAAGACUUGUCGGGCAACCUCGACUUUCUUUUCUUUACAAAGUGUGUCAAGAAGAAUGUUGAUGGUCUCAGUAUCCUUCGUCAAGCCCAAGGAUUCAAUGUCAUCAAAAGUUCUGAUGGCUUCUUGCCAUCUUCCGGCGGCGACGAGCCUUCUCAACACUUUGGAAAUGGUCUGUAGAGUGAUAAAGCCUUUGUUGUUCAUAUCAUGAACUAACACCCACAUUGUGUACAUUUGUUUCGACUUCCCUAAUACAUCAACCAUUUUGGUGUAUGCAUCAGAACGGUGUUUGUAACCUUGCUGAAGAUCUGCCCACUGAAAGAAACCCAAUGCAGAUUUCCAAUCAUCUCCAAAUCUCUGUAGCAUAUCGACAACUAUGUUUUCUGACAACUGGAUUCUUUCACCAGAGAGAUUUUUUUGAAGAGACUUGACGACAUCCUCAACCCUACCCCAACGAACAGCAUAAGCAGUAUUCAUGAUUCGGUGUGAAAGCGCUUCAUUAAAAACAUCAGACCUACACACGUCAAUCCGUUCAUUCAAUUUAAUCACACAUAUUGAAAUGGAAUGAAUGGUCAUUCAAUCUAAAAGGGAUGAUUUGAUUUUUAAAUACCUUUUGUCAUCCCAUGUAAUUCCAGGGAUUAACCAUCUGGUUCUUCUGACUCUUCCAACCCCUAAACAUAAAACCAUCAUCAGAAUAAUUAACAGACAACAUCUACAACAAUUAAAUCUAUCAACACAUGAUCUUCUCAAACCAUAAAAAAAAACAGUUUUUUCCCAAAUCUCAAUCAAAUGUCCGCAGCUUUAGAGUCCUCACCGUUAAGUCCAGUCUUGAUCUUACCAGCCGCAGCUUUAGCGUUUCACAAGAAGAAGAAGAACACAUCAUUAGAGACUGAACCCAAAAUCCGAAACAUCGAUAUCAGAAGAAAGGUUUAGGGUUUUACCCAUCACCACUCCUUGGAUGAUUUCUGUGAUACGAUUCCGAUAUAUAGACAAUCACCGAUCAAAUGCAGCAGACUUCACUCCGAUUCUCUGAGAAUGAAUGACGAUUCAACGGUAAUCCCAAGCUCAGACUGGAUCGCCGUUUCAUGACAGAAAUUCUCAACCACUCGCCGGUGGAAUCAUUUGAUUACAUAUUUGCAUAAUUACAUCCCAUAAAAUUCAAAAUUCAUACUGGGUCCAUUUAUAUAACCCUUCCAUUUCAUUCAAUAGAAGCGGGGCCUUUUCAUAAAAGACCCAUUAAUUUAAUUAAAAUUACAUUAGGUUGUUAGAGAUAAAUGGAGCGGGUAAUGGAGCGGCUAACAGAAUCCACUAAUAGUAAAUAAAAUCACGAUCGUGGUGGACCGGUCGUGUUCUGACAGGUCGUGGUGGACUUCUUGUACUAGAUUUCGACAAAGAUCUUAAUCGAUGUGGAUUGGUAAAGUCAAAGUCAACGUCAUAGCUUCCUUGAAAUCAAUCCUUCUUCUCUUUCUACCCCUCUCAUUUCUCCUCCUCCUCCUUUUCUUCCUCCACCCUCGACCGACGAUCGAUAAGCAGCGGCCCGCCGGAAUCCUCAUACGUCCGGGAUACGAAAACUACGACCAAUACAUAUCCAAGCAACUCAACAAAACUCUGAAUUCCCGUCUCCGUCGCAUUUGGACGACCCGCGAUUGGGACCGUAAAAUUCGUGUAUUCACAUCUUUUUUCAACAAUCUCGUCUCCAACGAGUUCCUCUCAAAUUCCUCUCGCUCGCUCUGCAUUGGAGCUCGCGUUGGGCAAGAAGUCGUCGCGUUGCGUGGAAUUGGGGUCAGCGACGCGGUGGGGAUGGAUCUUGUUCCAUACCCACCUUUGGUUGUUAAGGGCGAUUUUCAUAACCAACCAUUCUUGGAUGAGAGCUUCGAUUUUGAAUUCUCGAAUGUAUUUGACCACGCAUUGUACCCGGAGAAGUUCGUCGGAGAGGUGGAAAGGACGUUGAAGGUCGGAGGAGUUUGUGUUUUGCAUGUAGCUUUGAAGAGGAAAGGUGACAAGUACUCUGCUAAUGAUCUUUACAGUGUCGAUGCUUUGAUCAAGCUUUUUAGAGUUUCUACCGUCGCUCGAGUUACACAGAUUGAUGGAUUUGGGCUCGAUACCGAGGUGGUAUUGAGGAAGACGUCCGCCGCCAAAGAAAUAACAACAUAAAUAAAAACAACUUGUAUUAAUUGACAUGUAUGUACAUUUAUUUUGUAUUAUAAAGAGAAGUAAUUAUCAGAUGUGCCGAGAUCAAAAUACGUCAAAUUAAUUCUGUCCAUUAGAUCGACUUUUCGUCGUACAUGUGUUAGUGUUUUUUGCAGUACAUUAUUUUACGCCGUACAUGUAUUAGUGUCUUGUAUAAUAUAUUAUUUUAACCAUUGAAUUAAAUAUUAAUAAACACGAUUUGAUAAGGCACGACGACGCAUUCAAAGUACGACGCACCUGAAGCGCGCCUUAUAAAAGAGUUUAGAUUUUAACACAAGAAGAUCAAUUUACGUAUCACAGUAAUUUUCAAGGUUUUUGAAGAUCUAUGAUUAGGUUUAGGUCAAUUUCGUCAAAAAACAGGACGAGUCGAUCUGGAUAUCUGAUAAAAGGCCAGCGGAAUUCCCCCCAAUGUUUCAUUAAUGCAUACUCUUCCCAUCCGAAUUUUACCCGAAAAUAACGGAACAUCUGACCAUUACCUUUAGCCAAAUCAGAUUCGAAUCCUGGACUCUCAGAAACUUUAAAAACAUAGAUAUAAACAAAACGGGUAUGGACCAUGGAUCGAAAUAAACGGAUAUAACUGCUAACCGAUUAUAGAAUAGACGGAUCCCACUAAGAAGCAGUUUUUGAGAGUGGGAGGGAAAAAAACGGCCAGUGAUGACACGAUCAGUUUGUUAGAAGUUAGAAUUAUACUCCACUGUAUAAAUAGCCCGGCGCUAUAACAUAACUGAAAUCAUCAUUCAUCACAGUGAGAGAGAGAGAUCAGACGAGACCAAAUCCGAUCCGAUCAUCUAUCGCCAUGGUAAAUCCGAUCAAGCUUUCACUUCUCACAGCAUUUCUGUUUAUCAUUCUGCUUCGAAUCCCCGUUUCGGCUUUCCAGUACACCGUGAACGACGAAAACGGCUGGGUUGUUCCGAAUGUCGGAGAUGUAUUGGUUUACAAUCACUGGGCUUCACGAAAUCGGUUCCAGAUCGGUGACUCUAUUAGUAAGUUCUUCCUCGGUAACUGUUUCUUCUUUUGCUGUCUUCAUCUUCAGACUUCAGAUAUUGAACAUUUGAUUUGCAGGAUUCAUCUAUGAUAGAGAUUCGGUGUUGGAGGUUUCUGAAGAAGAGUACGAAGAAUGUUACUCUCUGAAACCGUUUAAUUUUUCAAACUCCGGUGAUUCUGUCUUUGUAUUGAAACGACCUGGUUCGUAUUUCUUCAUCAGCGGUGUUUCCACACAUUGCAAAAAAGGACAGAAGAUCAUCGUCAAGGUUCUAUCUACUCAUAUUAACCAUGCUCCGUUGGAAUCUCCAUCAGAUUCGCCGUCUUCGUUUCCGACAAAUCGAACUGACGCCACUCCUGCAUCUUCUCCUGCUACGACGAAGCCGAAGUCCAACGAUGCUGUUGCGAUUAACAUCUGCUUUGCAUUGUCGCCUCUUUGUGCGGUCGUUGUAUCUUUCUUCUUUUUUUGAUUGUUGUAGAAUCUAUUUUUGUUUGAUUGUUGAAUAAUCUUUUUUUUUAAACUUUCUUUCUUGAAAAUAAAACGAUUCUUAAAAAUCGAUUUUUUUUUUGUAUCAAUGGAUUAUGAAUGUUUCAAUUUAUAAAAGUUUUUCAGAGUUAAUAUUGGAUGGUUGAGAUUUAAAGUUAACUUGAUUCAAUGGUAGAUUGGUUUUUCAUUAUAAAUAUCAGGUGUGUUUUUUCUUGAGGGAGAAGAGAGUAGCUUUGGAGAUGGGGAAGAAGACGAAGAAACCCGGUAAAGGGAAGGAGAAGACGGAGAGGAAGACGGCAAAGGCCGAGGAGAAGAAGGCACGAAGAGAGAACAAGAAGAUUUCAGAGGAUGAUGACAUUGAUGCUAUUCUUGUAUAUCCUAACCUAUACCUUCAUUCAUUCUUUGUCGAUCGAGGGUUACUUAAACCCUACUUUGAUUUUAAUUUUCUUAGUUUUUUUGCUUGAAAUCUUGGUCUUUUUUUUGCCCAAUUGAAUUUGUGUCGAUGUUGAUGAUGCAUUUGACAUAUUUGAAAUCUUAGUUAUGUUUGUUUUGGGGGAGGUCAGAUGAACAUACAGAAAGAAGAGGCUAAGAAGAAGGAAGUUCACGUGGAAGAGAAUGUGCCUGCCCCUUCUCCUCGUUCAAACUGUUCGGUAUUUACGACUUCUCGAACAAUAAAAAAAUCCUUUCGAUUUCACAUUUCUAGACUUUUGAAUCUUCUUUUAUUGCCAUGAUUGAUUCAUUCACUACAGUUAAUAAUAAAUCCAUUGAAAGAGUCAGAGCUGAUAUUCUAUGGUGGUGAAUUCUACAAUGGAAAGAAGGUUUUUUUGUUGUCUCCAAAAGUACUAGCUAUUGUAUUUAUCUACCGUUGGAUGUUUAUUUGAAAUUUGUCUAUCUUGGUGUAGACGUAUGUUUAUGGUGAUCUCUAUCGUUAUGACAUCGAAAAGAAUGAAUGGAAGCAGAUUUCUAGUCCUAAUAGCCCACCUCCCCGCAGUGCACACCAAGCAGUUGCUUGGAAGGAUCAUCUAUAUAUGUUUGGUAAGUUAAGCUGUACUUGAAGUGCUAUUAUUUAAUGACAUGAACAUAUUAUUUAAUCAAAUUAAGUUGUAAUAUACAAAUAAAUACCACUAAGUGAAUUUUAAGAUGCUUAAUUACCCUUGAAAAUUUCUUAAGGUGUUUCCUUUUAAUCGUCUGUUUUUGAAUUUGAAUGUUAUCAAUUUCAGUAUUCUUUAUUUCUUUCUUUCAUCUGUUGUAUUAUAUUUUCUCUAUAGGAGGUGAAUUUACAUCCCCAAACCAAGAACGUUUUCAUCACUACAAGGUAUCUCUUUUUAAUAUUAUGUGGUAGCAACAUGAAUCAUUAAUUCUCAUUCUUAAUCAUCAUACUGUGUGAAAUUGGAAAUUGAAGAAAAUCUAUUUUAUGCAAUCAAUCAAUCAUUCAUAUAUAAAUAAUGUUAUGAAUCUUAUGAUCAAUGGCAACAUACCCAAAUUUACUAUAAAGAAUGUGCCAUAUUAUUCUUAACCAUUUUGACAGUUUAUGUUUUAUUUAAUACUGAAUUACUACUUUCAAAACAGCAUAUGCUUUUUUUUCUUGAUUGCAUAGGAUUUUUGGACACUGGAUCUUAAAACAAACCAAUGGGAACAACUACUUUUGAAAGGAUGUCCAACUGCACGCUCAGGACAUCGCAUGGUAUGUCUCUUUUUAUUUGCUACUUUAGUGCUUACACCAGUGGCUGGUACUUGCCUAUUCCAUAAUUCCCUUUUUACUUUCGUUUUUAUAAUAGUUGAUUGGAAAAUAAAUAAUGUUAAAUCUUACAUAGGUCAAACAUUCCUAAUUCACAUAGUAUAUUGAUGCAAUACAAAGUGGUCUUGGUUAUGCAUCCAAGGACUUAAUUGGAAAUGACCAAGUGGAAGGUAAUUGGCUUGACCAAGGUCAAGCCAAUUCAUAUCAUUUCUAGGGAAUAUUUAACUCACAUUAUUGGGUUGCUCAUUACCAAUAAUGUGAAUAUAAAUACAAUGGGCCCUUGAGAGGAAGAUCAGUUUAGAAUAUUGUGCAAUCAAGGUAUUACGUUAAUUAAUGAAAUAUUGCAAAAUCAAGUAGAGAAAUUGAUGGACUGAUCAUACCAUCCAUUAGCCCUUGUGCAGUUCCAGCCUUAUUGGUACCCAAAAAAAAUGGUGAGUGGAGAAUGUGUGUUGAUUGCAGAGCUAUCAACAAAAUCACAGUGAAAUAUAGAUUUCCUAUACCAAGGUUGGAGGAGUUGUUGGAUGUGUUGCUAGGAUCUAAAUAUUUUACAAAAUUAGAUAUAAAAAGUAGUUAUCAUCAAAUAAGGAUAAAAGAAGGGGAUGAGUGGAAAACUGCCUUCAAAACCAGCAAGGGGAUUAUAUGAGUGCCUAGUCAUGCCCUUUGGCAUGUCCAAUGCCCCCUCCACUUUUAUGAGAUUAAUGACAGAAGUCCUAAAGCCUUUAAUUAACAAAACGGUGGUGGUUUACUUUGAUGAUAUAUUAAUAUACAGAAAAGAUAAAGAAACACAUAUUGAGGAUAUAAGCAAAGUAUUACAGUUACUGGAUGAAAAUCAUUUGAAAUUGAAUUUACAAAAAUGUGAUUUUAUGGUUCAUGAAGUGCAUUUUUUGGGAUAUAUAGUUGGUGCUAGUGGACUGAAAGUGGAUCCUGCGAAAACAGAAGCAUUGAGAAGCUGGCUGUCUCCAACCAAUGUAACUGAAGUAAGGAGUUUCUUGGGGUUGGCCUCUUUUUAUAGGAGGUUCAUCAGGGACUUUAGCACCUUAGCUGCUCUAAUAUCAGACUGUCUGAAAAAGGGAGCAUUUUAGUGGACAAAAGAGGCAGAACAAGCCUUUAGAAAAUUGAAAGAGAAAUUACAGAAAACACCAGUACUGAGCCUGCCAGAUUUUUUCAAAAUAUUUGAAGUUGAGUGUGAUGCUACUAGCAUAAUGGGAGUAGGGACUGUUUUAACUCAGGAAGGACACCCAGUGGCCUUCCACAGUGAGAAAUUAUCUGUGGGAAGGAGGAAUUGGACCACCUAUGAACAAGAACUGUAUGCAGUGGUCAGAGCAUGCAAGACAUGGGAACCCUAUCUAUUGCAGAAUGAGUUUGUUAUAAAGACUGAUCACAUGGCACUUAAACAAGUCAAUAACUCUAAGGGAACAAAUAGAAUGCAUGCAAGGUGGAUUUCAUUUUUACAGAGGUUUCACUUCACACUGAAGCAUAGAACAGGAAAUAGCAACAGAGUGGCAGAUGCCUUAAGUAGAAAGAACAAUUUGCUAACUAUCUUAAGAGCUAAGAUAGUAGAGUUUGGAAAAAUAAAAAAAUUGUAUGAGAAGGAUGUUGACUUAUGUGACAAUGGAGAAACAGGGGGGAAUUAUAGACUGCAGGAAGGCUUUCUUUUUAAAAAAAAAACAGAUUGUGUUUUCCAGCUGAUCCACUCAGAAGGCAGUUAAUUGAGAAUUUAUAUUCAGGGGGGUUGGCAGGGCAUUUGGGCAGAGAUAAGGUGAUUGCAGAGUUGAAAAACAGAUUCUACUGGCCCAAAAUGAGUGAGCAAGCAGAACAGUUAGUACAAAGCUGCCAAGUCUGUCAAGAAGCAAAGGGGACUAAACAAAAUACAGGAUUAUAUAUACCUUUACCAGUACCAACUGAGCCUUGGACAGAGAGCUAUAAAUGGAUUUUAUUCUUGGGACUACCAAAAACAAAAACUGGAUUUGAUUCCAUAUUUGUAGUAGUCGAUAGGUUUUCGAAAAUGUCACACUUCUUACCUUGCAAAAAGAGCAAUGAUGCAGUAUAUGUGGUACAAUUAUUUUUUAAAGAAAUUGUGAGACUACAUGGAGUUCCCCAAAGCAUAGUGUCAGACAGAGAUACCAAAUAACAUGGUAAACAGGUUAACAGGAUUGAACCCAUUCAUUGCAGCUUAUGGACAUCAACCAAAACAAGCAAUAGAUAUUUCUUAUGUUCCCUGCAGCCAGCCAGCAAUAAAUGAAAUGAUAGAAAAAAAUAAAGAAAUUUACAAGAAAGUGGAGGAGGCACUGACUGAAGCAAACAGAAAAUACAAGCUUCAUUCAGACAAGAAGAAAAGACAUCAGGAAUUCUUUAUUGGGGAGAUGGUAAUGGUUCAUAUCAGCAAAGAAAGAACACCGUCUGGAACAUAUUCUAAGCUGAAGGCCAGAAAUCAUGGACCAUUCAAAUUACUGAAAAAAAUCAAUGAUAAUGCCCGUCAUUGACCUACCAGACAGAUACAAUAUGUCAAAGUCUUUCAAUGUCUGUGAUAUUAGAAAGUACUACCCUGAACAGCAGCAAGAUAAUCAAUUGGGGUCAAUUGAUCCUAUAGAAGGGGCGCAUGAUGCAAUAUAAAGUGGUCUUAGUUAUGCAUCCAAGGACUUAACUGGAAAUGACCAAGUGGAAGGUAAUUGGCUUGACCAAGGUCAAGCCAAUUCAUAUCAUUUCUAGGGAAUAUUUAACUCACAUCAUUGGGUUGCUCAUUACCAAUAAUGUGAGUAUAAAUACAACUGGCCCUUGAGAGGAAGAUCAGUUUAGAAUAUUGUGCAAACAAGGUAUUACCUUAAUUACUCCUCUCUCUCGUUGCUGAAUAUCUUCUACUUUUUCUUGCUUUUCUUACCACUACCUUCACUAUUAUCCACUGUUCUUAGAUCUAGAUCACAAACUUGGUGGAUUCCAAGCCCCGAUCUGGUCAUUGUGAGGAAGAUAUCCAUCUCUAUCACUGUUUUCGUUUGUCUACUGCAUUGGAGAGUUUCCACCUACAUCAUAUAUUCACUAUAUUGGUAGCGGGUAACAAACCGACUCAAUUCAAUUAUGAUGGUUGUUGCAGUCCCACAUUUUAGUCUGUUCUACUCUGUUCUCAGUAGAUUAACUUUUGCCUUGACUUUUUUAUUUGUUCUCUUUCAAAUUUAUUAACAAUGACGAUGCUUGAGUUCAUUUUUCAAAUUAUGUUUUGCUUUUGCAUAAUAAAGAUAUAAUAUCUUAUUUGCAUGUUUUACAACAUAUUUUUUGCGUAUAUAUAUUUAUUAUUUAGCAUUUUAGCUUUAUAUUUUUCAACAAUUCAUCAUGACAAUAAUUAUUGCCAUUUGCAAGCUGUGGAAGUAUUGAUCAGUUUUAAAUUUAUAUGUUCAUACAAUUUCAUCUGUGUCAGGUGUUAUACAAGCAUAAAAUUAUUGUCUUUGGGGGCUUCUACGAUACUCUUAGAGAAGUGAGGUUGUUUUUGCCAUUAUUACUUCAGGAAGUCAUUUUUCUAGCAUACUCUUUUUCUAGCAUACUUUAUGUUCACGUCUUUUUCCCCCUAUUGAAGUAGUGAAAUUCUGACAGUAGAAGAAUCGAUUGAAGAAGAUCAGUAAAUUCUUCUUUAAUAGUAGUAACAAUGAAUUGUUCUCCUUAACUUGGAAUCCACCAGGGAAGGAGAAUGAUCAGAUCUGAUCACAUCUUUUGAUAUAAAACAAAGAUGAAAUAGAAGAAUAACAACAAGUAGAAUUCCAGGUGGAGGGAAAAGAUUACUUCUGGUAAAGCAAAAUGAUAAAAAAUUCCCUCUUUCCUUGGGUGCACUGAGUAUUUAUACCCACAAUGUGGCUGAUUGAUAAUUCUACAUUGUCAGUUAAAAAGGCUCAGGUAUUGAGCAUGGUGGAUCUGCUAUGACUCUCUAAGCCUUACACUUGAAAUGAUUUCUAUAAACUUGAUUAAAUGGAGAACUAAGAUUUAAGUUUCUCUGCAUCACCUGUACCAUAUUUUCAAAUAGCGUUUUGCCUUAGCCGGAUCUGAGUAUGGAUCUGCUCGAAUAUCAUUAAUUUUUUUUAAUCUGUUUUAAAAAUAGAUCAGGGCUCCCAACGGUCAUACUCUCCUUCUUCCUCCACCAGUCAUCUUUUUUCCAUUGGCUAGGCUUCCUCCCGGCGAGCUCCGACCUGCGACCUUCUUCUCUGGUGACCUCAGGUGACAUCCAGGGAACAGUUUUUUCCGACCAGAACUUUCAUUUUUGUAGGAACAUCAUUUCCUUGAGUUUUUCUGUUUUUUGUAACUACUAUUAUAUAUAUGAGGGUUAUUUUUGGGUAGCCCCUUAAACUAAUUUGUGAAGAUGCCCCUUACAUUGAGUUCACAUACAUGUAUUUACAUUUUACAAGUUGAAUAUUGCAAAGAAAAUAAAAAUAGGGUAAACGCUAUAACACUCCUAUAGCCGUUAAACCUGUAAUCUGGAAUAGCUCUACCAACGACUGCUGUGCCGCUAUUUGCUAUUUAGAAAUUAGAAGUAUGACCUAUACCACUUGAAUAUUAUCUGAUCCUCUUUCUCUUACAAAGAGAUUUAUAUUUGUUACUUUUUAGUUAGGUGUCUCAUUUCAGUCUCUCUCUCUAGGUAUUACAAUGACUUGUUUGUAUUCGAUUUGGAUCUCUUCAAGGUAAAUAUUUUAGAUGAUUUUUUGGAAAUCUUCAAUAUUUCAUAUGUAUCUGAAUGUUUUAUGGUUGAACUUUCACUUGCAGUGGCAAGAAAUAAAACCCAAGCUUGGGUGUAUGUGGCCAACUCCAAGGAGUGCUUUUCAGCUCUCUGUUUUUCAAGAUGAGGUAGCUAGAACCUUCAUACUUUCAUUAUUUUUUAUUUUUCACUUCCUCCAUUUAUUUCUGACUUCUGAUUGAUUGUAAAUCAUAAUUGAAUAAAUUGUCAUUUUUUUUUUACUACACUUUCUUAUUUUAUCAUUUUUAUGUAGUCUAUUUUUGAAGCAGAAUAUAAUAACUUAUGUCACAUUUUAUUUUCUCAGUUCUUCUUCUUCUGGAUUUGUAUUCUGCAGAUUUUGUUAUACGGUGGAUAUUCUAAAGUUGUCUCGUCUGCUACUAAUAGUUCUGAAAAGGGAAUCGUUCAUUCAGAUAUGUGGUCUCUUGAUCCUAGGACUUGGGAAUGGAGCAAGGUUUGUUAUGUGGUGGAACAUUUAAUUCACUGACAAUUGACAGAUAUUCGUCGCUAUGGAAUUUUUGAGAUUUACACCUAAUUAUUCUGUAAACAGGUUAAGAAAGGUGGAAUGCCACCUGGACCUCGUGCUGGGUUUUCUAUGUGCUUGCACAAGAAAAGAGCUGUAUUAUUUGGAGGUGUUGUUGAUAAAGAAGUAGAGGGUAAUUCUACACUUAUAUACUUCCAGGAUAUUUCUUUUCAUUUUUUUUGUUGUAAUAAAGAUUGAAAGGCCAGGAUAUAUAUAUAUUUAAAUUAUAGGUAGUAUUAGGGAUGACAUUUUUGGCUUUGUGAUUCUCAUUUAAUGGUUGAAGUACUUUUGAAAUAAUACUAGUUGUUUCAAAAUUCACACUUUGAUGGUAAUCUCAAGGCUUAAAUCACCAUGUUGAGUGUGAUAAUUAACCUUGCUUUUAUCAACAUGGACAAAAUAUCUUUGAAGUGGAAUUGAUUUUUUGAAUAAAAUAACUUUAAUUAUUAUUCAUGUUUGUUUAUUUUAGGUGAUGUUCUGCUCAGCUUAUUUCUGAAUGAGCUCUAUGGUUUCCAACUAGACUGUCACCGUUGGUAUAUUCUGUCGCUUAUACUUAUUUAAUUUCUUUUCUUUUUGGGUAACUUUUAUCCAAAUAAAAGCAUUUCAGUCAAGUUUCAAUAUUAUGUUUGCUCUAUAUUCUGUUUUGAGAGUCCAAUAUUAAAUCUUUAAAUAUCAUUUAUUAGCCUAAAAUAUAUAUGUAUGUUUUACAAUUUUCAUAAAUUUAUAGUUUACAGACACUAUUGGCUACACUAGAGGGUAAUACAAGAAGUUAAUCUUCAAUAAAGUUUUUUUUAAAUAAAUUUCUUGGAAUUUAUAACUUUAUAAAUUUUAUAACAUAUAUCAAAUGAAUAGCUUGACUACUUCUGCUUAUAAUACUAAAUAUUGGUUCCUGUAGACUAAUUUUUAUUUUAUUUGUAUAGGUACCCUUUGGAGCUAAGAAAGGAUAAACCAAGUAAAGACAAGGUGUGUGUGUGCAAAUAUAGUCGUAAUUUAUUUCUAAUUUUCUAUGGUUGUAUAAUUACGGAUUGCAUAUUUACAGGGAAGAAAUGCCUUUGUAAUAUUAAAUUCAGCAGUUUACUGUUUGUAAUCUCAUCAUUCUGGAGUCUGGACAAUAGUUUUCAGAAAAAGGUUUUGCUAAUUUUUUUCUUGUUGAAUUUCUUUUUUAAGUCAAAAGGAGGCAAGAAAUCAGAAAGCAUUUCCAAUGAAGUCGACAGUGAAAAUGUCACAAAUCGUGACAAAAAUGAGAUCAUUCCUAAAUCUGUAGGUGGCCAUGAUAGUAUUAUUGAAGUUACUCAUUCUAUGAGCCAGGAUCUUUCUAUCAAUGAUUGUGUAGUUACUGAUAGAAAUACAGUUCAAAUAAAUGGAAAUUUUAAACUCCAAGUGUGCUCAUCAAAUGAGGUCAGUUGCAGUAAAGUUUAAUGCCAUUUUAUUACUGGUGUAUUACUCUAUCAUAACAAUUCAAUUUUAGGCAGUGAAACCUUGUGGACGUAUCAAUUCUUGUAUGGUCGUUGGAAGAGAUACAUUAUAUCUUUAUGGAGGUAUGAUGGAAAUCAAAGAUCAAGAAAUCACACUUGAUGAUCUUUAUAUGUUAAAUCUUAGUAAACUUGACGAAUGGAAGUGUAUCAUACCGGUAUAUUUAAAUUUCAGUCUUUCAUUUGCUACUUUAAAGAUAUUACCCAUGAUUGCUAUUUUUUGCUAUUUCAAGUUUAAAAUGCUUAUUUGAAUUCAUUGCAUUUCAACCAGGCUUCGGUAUCUGAAUGGGUAGAAGCUUCUGAUGAGGAUGAAGACGAUGACAGUGAUGCUGACGACGAGGAUAGCUACAGUGGAAGCAACAAUGAAGAGUCGGAUGAUGAUGCAAAUGAGGUAAUGAGUAUAUGCUGUUGGUGUUUACGUGGUUUUGAAAACAUCGUUUUAUUAAGUUAACAAGCACUCUCUCCAGUUUCAAUAUUGAAUAUUAUUCCUUUUGAGAUUUUUUUCCACUUUAUUUCUUUUGGAGGUUUGUUCAUUUCUAACUCAUUUAAAUGUUAUCUUUGUGAACUUCUUAGGGUGGUGAUGUUGAAAGUGCUGUAGCCUUACUCAAAGGUGAGAAAAAGAGUCUACGCAGAAAAGAGAAGAAGGCCAGGAUAGAGCAAAUAAGAGCUACACUUGGUCUUUCGGAUUCCCAAAGGACUCCUGUGGUAACAUUAAUAACGAUCUGUCCUUUUGGAUUUAUCUGUCUAUUCAUGCAAUUGAUUUUUUAAAAUAUUACUAUGUUUCAUUGUAGCCAGGAGAAUCUCUGAAAGAUUUUUACAAGAGGACAAGUUCGUAUUGGCAAAUGGCGGCAUAUGAACACACUCAACAUACCGGAAAGGUUAUUAUUAUUCUUUAAAAUCAUAAUAAUAUGUCGGUGUCUCUCCUGGUAGUAACAUUACACAUGCAGUUGUUUACUGUUUUAUAAUAUGAAGUCUUAAUUUACCUUCUUGCCCGUGAUUUUAUAUUUCUAUUUUGCUCCCAUUUAUAUUCAAAUAUUGGCCACAAUCUAUUUAGGAACUGCGCAAGGAUGGUUUUGAUCUUGCCGAGUAUCGUUUCAAGGAAUUGAAACCUAUACUUGAUGAGGUCAGUCAGUCAGUCGGUCUUUAAAUCUAUGCAUGAUUUCAAAUACGUAUUUUUGUGACAGUAUCUAACUCUGUUCUUACUGUUUGUUUGUGUGUAUGUAUUAUAUUAUAUUCAUCAGCUGGCCAUACUGGAAGCUGAACAGAAGGUUGAAGAGGAAGAAAUAGGUGAAAGUAGUAGUAGAAAAAGAGGUGGGGGUGAUAAGAAAACCAAGCGUUAAUCAUUUUAGAAUUAAAUGGUGUGUUUGAAUUUAAAACACCCCCAUUUAUAUUUCAGUUUAUUGGUUGAAUAUUUUUUAAAAUUUUGGUUGUCUAAUUGUCUUGUGUUUUCAUCAUUCUAUUAGCUACCUGUCUGCAAAUUAUAUGAAAAGUUUAUGUAAUUUCAUCAUUCUAUUGGGUCUUGUAUUUUAAGCAAGUUGCUCUAAGUUUUCGAAAUUUAAUCCAAAAAAUUAAAAAUAAUUUGGAGAUGGCCAAAGAAAGAAAUCUAUUAUUAGAACAUGGUUAUAAAAACAAUAAUGACCAUGAUAAUGACUAAAACAGGGAUUCUUGUAGUGUUUUAUUUUUACAUCCAAUUGAAGAGUUUUAGUUUUAACAGAAUGCUAGAUGAGAAAGGAGACGGAAAAGACAGGAUGAGUCUGGAGUCUGGACCGAACGAAAGCCUCUUUGGAUUAUAGAUUGAAAACUAUAUAGAGGGUAUUAGUUAGUUUUUGUUUGCAUUUUUCAAAUUUAAAGCGAAUGUAUUUAAAAAACAGUUGUUAAUAAUAAUAUAUGACAAAUAAAUGAUUGUCUCAGUUAAAUCUUUAUAUAAAUAUAUAAGUGUAUAAAUGAAAAUUACAAGCUAUAUGCCAACGAAUUCGAGUGACUCAUUUUUUUUGUAUCAUUUUCUAUUAUUUAAUCAACUAAAAUCGAAAAGUAAAUCUUAAAUUAUAACUACUUACCAAAUCAAUUUGCAUUAAUUAUGAAAUGUAUGGUGUGCGUUGAGAGUAAAUUUUUUAGUAGAUAUACUCGUCUAACUUGAAUGUCUUAUUUGUUAGCUUUGGCCAUGAAAAUAACAAGCUAUAUGCCAACAAAUUCGUUCAACCGUCAAACUCAAUAAUAAGGCUAUAAGAGCACAUGCGAGGGGGUAGAGUGAGAGGCGGAAGAGGACGACUGUUUUAUUUUUUUUGGGUGUCAUUUUCUAUUAUUUAAUAACGUAGGACCAGUGGAUCAGUGGUCACGUAACUCACGUUGCGUGGGUGGUUGGAAAUUAUAAUGAUCGAUGGUUUAAUUAUUGAUGCUGCUUCAUGUCAAUUUUUGGAUCAUUACGAAGGUGAGUCAUGUUCAAAAAAAAAACCUGUGGGUGAUGGUUGAUUGACUAUUCCUUUAAAUGGUUCUUUAGAGGGGUAGGCGUGACGAACUCGAUCCGAACAUGUCGGGUUCGGUGGAUAUUUUCGACCAUAAAACCCGGCGAACUCGAAUUUUUUUAACCCUUUUAGGUUUGGGUUUAAAUUUUUUAUAAAAAAAACCUUAAAAUAUAAAUAAUUAUAUAAAUAAAAUUUUAUUGUAUAUAAAAUAUUUUAUUAAAAUUUAAUAUACACAUUUAUUAAAAUUUUCUUCUUCUUUUAAAAUUUAAACCCUAAUACUAUUAUUAUUUUCUUAUAUAUUCUCUUCCAUUUUCAUCUUUUCUCUUCUCACCGUCGUUUUCGCCUAAUAAUUAUUUAAUAUUUUAAAAAUAUCAAACCCGGACCCGACAUCCAAAUCGAUUUCUGGUUAUAUAAUUUUAGAUGUUCCCAAGUUUUAACCCGAACCCGAUUUCAAAACUCGAUUUCGGAUCAGGACAAAUCCGAGUCAAAUCUAACCCAUAUCCAUUCCUAGUUCAUUAUUCAUAGCUCACAUUUAUUUAAUCUUAUUUAAUCAUAUAUCGGAAGGUACUUCUUUACAAUUGCAUCCUUAUCCAAAUUUGCGUUGGUGGUUGGAAAUUAUAAUGGAUAAUAAAAAUAAUAUUCCCUAAAUUCAAUUAGAUCCUUAUCCUAAUUUAAAUCAGUUUAUUUCAAUCAUUUAUCAUCAUAUCAAUUUUAUUUUUUACAUUGCAUCAACGGACCAAAUUAAACGUUUCCAAUUAUAAAGAAAGAUCAAAUUCGACCAAGUUUCCGAACAUUGUCAUUCUACCUUUCAAGAUUUCUUCUCCGCAACCAAUCGAAGCCAUGGAAUCGGUGCCAAUAUCAUUUAUUCUGAAAGAGGCCUCAAAACAUCUGAUCAACGUUCUGGGGACGGAAUUCACACUCAUAAAAAAUACUCCGGGCGAAUUGGAAAAACUGAAAAGAUUCAAGACAAUCAUCGUCACUGUUCAACGAGACGUCGCCGGUCGGGAAUUAAGCCAACAAGAUGUUGUCUGGCUGGAUGAGAUGAUAGAUGCUGCGUAUGAUAUCGAGGAUAUCGUAGAUCUGUCCAGUACAAAGAUUCUUCAACUGAGAAGCAACAACAACGAGGAAUCAACUUGUUGUAUCCAUUGGGUAAUUGAUUUCUUCUCUUGCACCUAUAAUACUCUUAUUUUUCGCCACGAAAUAGGAACUAGGGUGCAAAAUACAUUCGUUAGAUUGGCUAAUAUUGCGGAAGAGAAGAAAUACCAUCUUACUCAUAGUGGGAGGGAUGGAGUGGAAAAUCUGAGUACAAAGAUGCCAGAGACCAUUUCUGAAAUGGGUGAGGAUGUUGUACUGGGAAGAGAUCGUGAUCUCAAAAUUAUACUUGAACAAUUAUUGUUCAAAGAGAAAACAAACAUUGAUGUGCUUGUUUUAGUCGGAAUGGGUGGUGUUGGGAAGACCACACUUGCAAAACUCGUGUACAAUGAUAGCCAAGUAGAUGCUCUCUUUGGUGAAAGAAAGCUUUGGGUUUGCGUAUCAGAAAUUUUUGACUCGUCGAAAAUUAUCAAACUUGUUAUUGAGCAAAUAGAUGGAAACCCGUGUAAACUCGAAGGAUUGCAAGCGUUGAGCAAGAAAUUGAAAGAGCUUUUAGAAACAAACAUGUAUUUAUUAGUUUUGGACGAUGUUUGGACUAAUUCAAGUUUAACUUGUGAUUCUUGGUCGAUUAUGAAAUCAUUGUUUCUUAAUUGUAAGAUUCUGGUAACAACUCGUGAGGAGAAUGUAAUAUCUGUGAUUUUACCAGAACCUUACAUGCAUCGUGUGGGAUGUCUACCUGAGGAUGCUUCAUGGUCAUUGUUCAAGAAUAUUGCAUUUUCCAAUGGUAACGUUCCAGAGGAAUUGAAAGAUAUCAGCAAAAGUAUUGUGAAAAAAUGCAAAGGUGUACCUUUAGCUGUGAGGGUUCUUGGUAGCAUGAUGCGUAACCAAAAUUUUACUUACUGGAAAGAGAUUGAGAAAAACAAUAUUCUUGAUCUUAAUAUUGAAGGUGAAAAUAGAAUAUCCAAGAUUCUAAAAUUCAGCUAUCAUAAUCUUCCUUUAAAGUCAAAGUUUUGCUUUGUCGAUCUACUGUUCUAUUUUCCCCAAAGAUUCAGUUAUGAAGAAAAUAAAAUUGAUCCAACAAUGGGCUGGCAAUGGUUUUAUUUCGCUGAACGAGGGAAAUAAGAUUUUCGAAGAUUUAUUGUCAAGAUGUUUCUUCCAAGAUGUCGAGAAAGAUGAUUACGGCAGCAUUACAAUAUUUAAGAUGCAUGAUUUAAUCCAUGACCUUGCUGAAUCGAUUGCUAAGUCUCUGCAAUGUGGAAUCUUCGAUGAUAGAAUUCAAGAUAGAAAUUUAUCGGAUAGAAAACAAGUUCGUUAUUUAUCGAUAAUAUUAAACAUGGGAGAAGGAGAAGAAUUUUCUUAUUCAGAUAUUUCGAGUAAAUUACGAACAUUGCAGUUGUUAACUUCUACAUUAGUAACUAUGACAUUUCUGGAUAAUUGCUUCACCAAGUUCAAAUUCUUACGGGUUUUGGUUUGUAGUUAUCAGUAUGGUUUUGAAGAGAUUCCAUCUUCCAUCGACAACCUCAAGCUUCUGAGAUAUGUUGACUUCUGUCAUACAGGUAUAACACGACUCCCAGAAACGGUCUGCAACCUUCAAAAUUUACAGACGUUGAAACUCAACAAUUGUCGAGAUCUUAUUGUUUUGUCAAAGAAGCUGGGAAAAUUAUCCGAGUUAAGGUAUUUGGAAAAUGAUGAUUGUAUAAGUUUGGAUUCAAUGCCUGUUGGGAUGGAUCGUUUGAGUCUUUUGCAGACAUUGAAUACUUUUGUAGUAAAUGAUGGAGGAAAAAAUUUAAAUGAAUUACGACAUCUGGAUCAUCUAGAAGGAAGUCUUUGUAUAAAACAUCUUGACAGAAUUCAAAAUGUUGUUUUGGAAAAUGGAAUACUAAAUAGAAAGAGCAAUCUUGUAUCAUUGGACCUGAUAUGGGGAUUAUGGAUACAAUCUAAAAGAAGGGAUUAUGGAAAAGUGUUAGAAGCUUUACAACCACAUCCCAAUUUGAAAUAUUUAAAUAUAAAUGGGUUUGAUGGAUUCUUCAUUCCCUUAGACAUGAGUUGUCUAAAAUCCCUUACAUAUUUAGUGAUUUUACAUUGUAAAAACCUUACAUGUCUUCCAAACAACAUAGGUUCUCUUAAAUCCCUUACACAUUUAGAGAUUUAUUAUUGUCCAAAUGUCACCUCUCUUCCCAACGACAUGAGUUGUCUAAAAUCCCUUACACAUUUAGUGAUUUUACAUUGUAAAAACCUUACAUGUUUUCCAAACAACAUAGGUUCUCUUAAAUCCCUUACACAUUUAGAUAUUUCAUGUUGUGAAAACCUUACAUGUCUUCCAAACAACAUGGGUUCUCUUAAAUCCCUUACACAUUUAGAGAUUUCAGGUUGUAAAAACCUUACAUGUCUUCCAGACAACAUGGGUUCUCUUAAAUCCCUUACAUAUUUAAAGAUUUUAAGAUGUAAAAACCUUACAUGUCUUCCAAACAGCAUGGGUUCUCUUAAAUCCCUUACAUAUUUAAAGAUUUUAAGAUGUAAAAACCUUACAUGUCUUCCAAACAGCAUGUGUUCUCUUAAAUCCCUUACAUAUUUAGAGAUUAAAUUUUGUAAAAACCUUACAUGUCUUCCAAACAACAUGGGUUCUUUUAAAUCCCUUACACAUUUAGUGAUUUAUUAUUGUCCAAAUCUCACCUCUCUUCCCAACGACAUGGGUUCUCUUAAAUCCCUUACACAUUUAAAGAUUUCAUCUUGUAAAAAGCUCACAUGUCUUCCAAACAACAUGGGUUCUCUUAAAUCCCUUAUACAUUUACAGAUUUCAUAUUGUGAAAACCUUUCAUGUCUUCCAAACAACAUGGGUUCUCUUAAAUCCCUUACACAUUUAGAAAUUUCAAAUUGUAAAAACCUUACAUGUCUUCCAAACAACAUGGGUUCUCUUAAAUCCCUUACACAUUUAGAGAUUUCAAAUUGUUAAAACCUCAUAUGUCUUCCAAACAAUAUGGGUUCUCUUAAAUCCCUUACACAUUUAGAGAUUUCAUUUUGUGAAAACCUUACAUGUCUUCCAAACAACAUGGGUUGUCUCCAAUCCCUUACACCUUUAACAAUUGAAUCUUGUCCAAGUUUGGUUGAUAAUUCUUUUGCCCUGGAA